Molecule: transfer RNA, 74 nt
Filed under: Mycobacterium phage Yuna
Lineage: Duplodnaviria; Heunggongvirae; Uroviricota; Caudoviricetes
Also listed under: 2 other names
Description: tRNA-Trp
Rfam family: tRNA
About the family: Transfer RNA (tRNA) molecules are approximately 80 nucleotides in length. Their secondary structure includes four short double-helical elements and three loops (D, anti-codon, and T loops).
Source: RNAcentral
GGGUUCCUAGCUCAAUUGGGAGAGCAGCGGUCUCCAAAGCCGCCGGUUGCAGGUUCGACCCCUGCGGAGCCCGC